RNAcentral lists this ribosomal RNA (392 nucleotides) under marine bacterium SIMO-IS188. Its description in RNAcentral is "bacterial SSU rRNA". It matches the Rfam family "Bacterial small subunit ribosomal RNA", at positions 44 to 423 of the family's 1533-position model. The record is from RNAcentral. Lineage: Bacteria; Bacillati; Bacillota.
GUGCCUAAUACAUGCAAGUCGAGCGAACAGCAAGGGAGCUUGCUCCCGGAUGUUAGCGGCGGACGGGUGAGUAACACGUGGGUAACCUGCCUGUAAGACUGGGAUAACUCCGGGAAACCGGAGCUAAUACCGCNAUAGUUCCUUGAACCGCAUGGUUCAAGGAUGAAAGACGGUUUCGGCUGUCACUUACAGAUGGACCCGCGGCGCAUUAGCUAGUUGGUGGGGUAAUGGCUCACCAAGGCGACGAUGCGUAGCCGACCUGAGAGGGUGAUCGGCCACACUGGGACUGAGACACGGCCCAGACUCCUACGGGAGGCAGCAGUAGGGAAUCUUCCGCAAUGGACGAAAGUCUGACGGAGCAACCGCCGCGUGAGUGAUGAAGGUUUUCGGAU